GGAUGAACGCUGGCGGCGUGCUUAACACAUGCAAGUCGAACGAAGCACCUUGAUUUGAUUCUUCGGAUGAAGAUCUUGGUGACUGAGUGGCGGACGGGUGAGUAACGCGUGGGUAACCUGCCUCAUACAGGGGGAUAACAGUUAGAAAUGACUGCUAAUACCGCAUAAGACCACAGCACCGCAUGGUGCAGGGGUAAAAACUCCGGUGGUAUGAGAUGGACCCGCGUCUGAUUAGGUAGUUGGUGGGGUAGCGGCCUACCAAGCCGACGAUCAGUAGCCGACCUGAGAGGGUGACCGGCCACAUUGGGACUGAGACACGGCCCAAACUCCUACGGGAGGCAGCAGUGGGGAAUAUUGCACAAUGGGGGAAACCCUGAUGCAGCGACGCCGCGUGAGCGAUGAAGUAUUUCGGUAUGUAAAGCUCUAUCAGCAGGGAAGAAAAUGACGGUACCUGACUAAGAAGCACCGGCUAAAUACGUGCCAGCAGCCGCGGUAAUACGUAUGGUGCAAGCGUUAUCCGGAUUUACUGGGUGUAAAGGGAGCGUAGACGGAGUGGCAAGUCUGAUGUGAAAACCCGGGGCUCAACCCCGGGACUGCAUUGGAAACUGUCAAUCUAGAGUACCGGAGAGGUAAGCGGAAUUCCUAGUGUAGCGGUGAAAUGCGUAGAUAUUAGGAGGAACACCAGUGGCGAAGGCGGCUUACUGGACGGUAACUGACGUUGAGGCUCGAAAGCGUGGGGAGCAAACAGG
Molecule: ribosomal RNA, 749 nt
Filed under: uncultured Lachnospiraceae bacterium
Lineage: Bacteria; Bacillati; Bacillota; Clostridia; Lachnospirales; Lachnospiraceae
Description: bacterial SSU rRNA
Rfam family: Bacterial small subunit ribosomal RNA
Source: RNAcentral